GGCGGACGGGUGAGUAACACGUGGGCAACCUGCCUGUAAGACUGGGAUAACUUCGGGAAACCGGAGCUAAUACCGGAUAAUCCUUUUCUACUCAUGUAGAAAAGCUGAAAGACGGUUUACGCUGUCACUUACAGAUGGGCCCGCGGCGCAUUAGCUAGUUGGUGAGGUAACGGCUCACCAAGGCGACGAUGCGUAGCCGACCUGAGAGGGUGAUCGGCCACACUGGGACUGAGACACGGCCCAGACUCCUACGGGAGGCAGCAGUAGGGAAUCUUCCGCAAUGGACGAAAGUCUGACGGAGCAACGCCGCGUGAGUGAUGAAGGUUUUCGGAUCGUAAAACUCUGUUGUUAGGGAAGAACAAGUACGAGAGUAACUGCUCGUACCUUGACGGUACCUAACCAGAAAGCCACGGCUAACUACGUGCCAGCAGCCGCGGUAAUACGUAGGUGGCAAGCGUUGUCCGGAAUUAUUGGGCGUAAAGCGCGCGCAGGCGGUCCUUUAAGUCUGAUGUGAAAGCCCACGGCUCAACCGUGGAGGGUCAUUGGAAACUGGGGGACUUGAGUGCAGAAGAGAAGAGUGGAAUUCCACGUGUAGCGGUGAAAUGCGUAGAGAUGUGGAGGAACACCAGUGGCGAAGGCGACUCUUUGGUCUGUAACUGACGCUGAGGCGCGAAAGCGUGGGGAGCAAACAGGAUUAGAUACCCUGGUAGUCCACGCCGUAAACGAUGAGUGCUAAGUGUUAGAGGGUUUCCGCCCUUUAGUGCUGCAGCAAACGCAUUAAGCACUCCGCCUGGGGAGUACGGCCGCAAGGCUGAAACUCAAAGGAAUUGACGGGGGGCCCGCACAAGCGGUGGAGCAUGUGGUUUAAUUC
Molecule: ribosomal RNA, 871 nt
Filed under: Bacillus sp. DFM54
Lineage: Bacteria; Bacillati; Bacillota; Bacilli; Caryophanales; Bacillaceae
Description: bacterial SSU rRNA
Rfam family: Bacterial small subunit ribosomal RNA
Source: RNAcentral